RNAcentral lists this ribosomal RNA (601 nucleotides) under Eulimnogammarus verrucosus. RNAcentral describes it as "SSU rRNA". It matches the Rfam family "Eukaryotic small subunit ribosomal RNA", at positions 30 to 547 of the family's 1831-position model. The record is from RNAcentral. Lineage: Eukaryota; Metazoa; Arthropoda; Malacostraca; Amphipoda; Eulimnogammaridae.
GCUUGUCUCAAAGAUUAAGCCAUGCAUGUCUAAGUCCAAGCUGUGUUCACACGGCGAGACCGCGGACGGCUCAUUAAAUCAGUCGUGGUCCAAAUGGGCCAGUGCAAAUCCUACUUGGAUAACUGUGGUAAUUCCAGAGCUAAUACAUGCAACUGAUAUCCCGAAGGCGGUGUUGGGGCUUGCUUGCCUUGCGCUGCGCUGCUCUGACGGAUGCUUUUAUUAGACCAAGCCGCUGAGGACUUGAGGGUUCGCGCUCUCUUGUUUGACUCGUGUGAUGGUGACUCUGGAUAACCAAAUUCUGACAAGCGCACGUACUUCUCUUCUGAGCGAGACGGCGCUGCCACUUUCGAGUGUCUGCCUUAUCAGCUAUCAACCGUUCGUUAUGCGCGACCGAUGGCUUUGACGGGUAACGGGGAAUCAGGGUUCGAUUCCGGAGAGGCAGCCUGAGAGACGGCUACCACGUCCAAGGACGGCAGCAGGCACGCAAAUUACCCAAUCCCAGCAAAUGGGGGAGGUAGUGACGAAAUCUAACGAUGCGGGCGCCCUUUCUGGGGCCCCGCAAUCGGAAUGGGCACUUUCUAAACAACCUGUUGAGAACCUA